This 71-nucleotide transfer RNA is filed under the name Ornithorhynchus anatinus (platypus). It matches the Rfam family "tRNA". Rfam says of the family: Transfer RNA (tRNA) molecules are approximately 80 nucleotides in length. Their secondary structure includes four short double-helical elements and three loops (D, anti-codon, and T loops). The record is from Rfam by way of RNAcentral. Lineage: Eukaryota; Metazoa; Chordata; Mammalia; Monotremata; Ornithorhynchidae.
ACAUUGGUGGUUCAGUGGUAGAAUUCUCGCCUGCCACAAGGGAGACCUGGAUUCGAUUUCUGGCCAAUGCA